Molecule: ribosomal RNA, 462 nt
Filed under: Bacillus cereus
Lineage: Bacteria; Bacillati; Bacillota; Bacilli; Caryophanales; Bacillaceae
Description: bacterial SSU rRNA
Rfam family: Bacterial small subunit ribosomal RNA
Source: RNAcentral
GGAUUAAGAGCUUGCUCUUAUGAAGUUAGCGGCGGACGGGUGAGUAACACGUGGGUAACCUGCCCAUAAGACUGGGAUAACUCCGGGAAACCGGGGCUAAUACCGGAUAACAUUUUGAACCGCAUGGUUCGAAAUUGAAAGGCGGCUUCGGCUGUCACUUAUGGAUGGACCCGCGUCGCAUUAGCUAGUUGGUGAGGUAACGGCUCACCAAGGCAACGAUGCGUAGCCGACCUGAGAGGGUGAUCGGCCACACUGGGACUGAGACACGGCCCAGACUCCUACGGGAGGCAGCAGUAGGGAAUCUUCCGCAAUGGACGAAAGUCUGACGGAGCAACGCCGCGUGAGUGAUGAAGGCUUUCGGGUCGUAAAACUCUGUUGUUAGGGAAGAACAAGUGCUAGUUGAAUAAGCUGGCACCUUGACGGUACCUAACCAGAAAGCCACGGCUAACUACGUGCCAGCAG